This 244-nucleotide ribosomal RNA is filed under the name uncultured prokaryote. RNAcentral's name for it is "partial 16S ribosomal RNA". It matches the Rfam family "Bacterial small subunit ribosomal RNA", at positions 524 to 767 of the family's 1533-position model. The record is from RNAcentral.
UACGGAGGAUGCAAGCGUUAUCCGGAUUCAUUGCGUUUAAAGGGUGCGCAGGCGGAGAUAUAAGUCAGUGGUGAAAAACUGCCGCUCAACGGUAGUCUUGCCAUUGAUACUGUUUCUCUUGAGUAUGGAUGAGGUAGGCGGAAUGUGCAGUGUAGCGGUGAAAUGCAUAGAUAUUGCACGGAACACCAAUUGCGAAGGCAGCUUACUGAGCCAUUACUGACGCUCAGGCACGAAAGCGUGGGGA